RNAcentral lists this ribosomal RNA (253 nucleotides) under uncultured bacterium. Its description in RNAcentral is "partial 16S ribosomal RNA". It matches the Rfam family "Bacterial small subunit ribosomal RNA", at positions 524 to 776 of the family's 1533-position model. The record is from RNAcentral.
UACGUAGGUGGCGAGCGUUGUCCGGAUUUACUGGGUGUAAAGGGCGUGUAGCCGGGAAGGCAAGUCAGAUGUGAAAUCCGGAGGCUCAACCUCCGAAUUGCAUUUGAAACUGUUUUUCUUGAGUACUGGAGAGGCAGACGGAAUUCCUUGUGUAGCGGUGAAAUGCGUAGAUAUAAGGAGGAACACCAGUGGCGAAAGCGGCUCUCUGGUCUGUAACUGACGCUGAGGUUCGAAAGCGUGGGUAGCAAACAGG